Molecule: transfer RNA, 72 nt
Filed under: Pangasianodon hypophthalmus (striped catfish)
Lineage: Eukaryota; Metazoa; Chordata; Actinopteri; Siluriformes; Pangasiidae
Description: tRNA-Glu
Source: RNAcentral
UCCCUGGAGGACUAGUGGUUAGGCCUCAGCACGCUCCCCUCUGUGGCCGGGGUUCGAUUCCUAGCCAGGGAA